UGGGGAAUAUUGGACAAUGGGCGCAAGCCUGAUCCAGCCAUGCCGCGUGAGUGAUGAAGGCCCUAGGGUUGUAAAGCUCUUUUGGCGGGGAAGAUAAUGACGGUACCCGCAGAAUAAGCCCCGGCUAACUUCGUGCCAGCAGCCGCGGUAAUACGAAGGGGGCUAGCGUUGUUCGGAAUUACUGGGCGUAAAGCGCACGUAGGCGGAUCGUUAAGUCGGGGGUGAAAUCCUGGGGCUCAACCUCAGAACUGCCUUCGAUACUGGCGAUCUCGAGUCCGGGAGAGGUGAGUGGAAUUCCGAGUGUAGAGGUGAAAUUCGUAGAUAUUCGGAGGAACACCAGUGGCGAAGGCGGCUCACUGGCCCGGUACUGACGCUGAGGUGCGAAAGCGUGGGGAGCAAACA
Molecule: ribosomal RNA, 402 nt
Filed under: uncultured prokaryote
Description: bacterial SSU rRNA
Rfam family: Bacterial small subunit ribosomal RNA
Source: RNAcentral